RNAcentral lists this ribosomal RNA (407 nucleotides) under uncultured bacterium. Its description in RNAcentral is "partial 16S ribosomal RNA". It matches the Rfam family "Bacterial small subunit ribosomal RNA", at positions 28 to 526 of the family's 1533-position model. The record is from RNAcentral.
GACGAACGCUGGCGGCGUGCCUAAUACAUGCAAGUAGAACGCAGUUGCGAACGGGUGAGUAACGCGUAGGUCACUGCCUGGUAGGGGGGGAUAACUAUUGGAAACGAUAGCUACUACCGCAUACUACAAGAUGGACCUGCGUUGUAUUAGCUAGUUGGUGGGGUAACGGCUCAACAAGGCAACGAUACAUAGCCGGACUGAGAGGGUGAUUGGCCAAAAGGGGACUGGGAAAAGGGCCAAAAUCCGUCCGGAGGGAGGAGGAGGGAAAUGUGGGAAAUGGACGGAAGUCUUACUGAGCAACGCCGCGGGAGUGAAGAAGGUUUUCCGAUCUGAAAGCUCUGUUGUAAGGUAAGCGGUAUCUUACCAGAAAGGGACGGCUAACUACGUGCCAGCAGCCGCGGUAAUAC